GGCAGGGUAUGGUGUAUUUUAUUGGUGGUACAUAACAAAGGAGGGCUCCCUAAGGCCUUCCCCUUCUUCAAGGGGUCUGGGAUGGAAGCUGUUUCAAGGUUUGGAGAUUCUCAGUGUGCUGGGGGAUGAGUUGGGGCAAGCAGCUAAGGACCUCUCUCUUCUUUUUUUGUUUCACUGGGGCUGGCUGUUCAGGGGUCUCUUGCUCCUUGGAAGCCAUGUGGACAAUAAGGUUCACCACCCAGUGGCUGUAGCCAAAUUUAUUGUUGUACCGGGAAAUGAGCUUGACAAAGUGGUCAUUAAAGGCAAUGCCAGCCCCAGCAUCAAAGAUGGAAGAAUGGGUGUCACUGGUAAAGUUGCAAGAAAUAACCUGGUCCUCAGUGUAGCCCAGGAUUCCCUUGGUCCAGCAUCAAAGGUGGAAAAAUUCGCGUCACUGUUAAAGUUGCAGGAAGCAACCUUAUCCUCAGUGUAGCCCAGGAUACCCUUGAGGGGGCCCUCUGAUGCCUGCUUCACCACCUUCUUGAUGUCAUUAUGUUUGGCAGCUUUUUCCAGGUGCAGGU
Molecule: long non-coding RNA, 557 nt
Filed under: Lynx pardinus (Iberian lynx)
Lineage: Eukaryota; Metazoa; Chordata; Mammalia; Carnivora; Felidae
Source: RNAcentral